AAUAGUACCCGGGUAGUCCACGCCGUAAACGAUGAGUGCUAGGUGUUGCGGGUAUCGACCCCUGCAGUGCCGUAGUUAACACAAUAAGCACUCCGCCUGGGGAGUACGGUCGCAAGACUGAAACUCAAAGGAAUUGACGGGGGCCCGCACAAGCGGUGGAGUAUGUGGUUUAAUUCGACGCAACGCGAAGAACCUUACCAGGGCUUGACAUCCUCUGAAAAGUAUAGAGAUAUACUCCUCUACCUUAUGGUAGACAGAGAGACAGGUGGUGCAUGGUUGUCGUCAGCUCGUGUCGUGAGAUGUUGGGUUAAGUCCCGCAACGAGCGCAACCCCUAACAUUAGUUGCCAGCGAGUGAAGUCGGGAACUCUAAUGUGACUGCCGUUGACAAAACGGAGGAAGGUGGGGAUGACGUCAAAUCAUCAUGCCCCUUAUGUCCUGGGCUACACACGUACUACAAUGGCCGGUACAGACGGAGGCGAAGCUGUGAAGCGGAGCAAAACUGAGAAAGCCGGUCCCAGUUCGGAUUGUAGU
This 532-nucleotide ribosomal RNA is filed under the name uncultured bacterium. Its description in RNAcentral is "bacterial SSU rRNA". It matches the Rfam family "Bacterial small subunit ribosomal RNA", at positions 777 to 1304 of the family's 1533-position model. The record is from RNAcentral.